CUCUGCUCCAAGUUUUCCAAUUCCUGGGGUGAGGAUUUGUGAGAAACAGUUGGGGUCAGGAGAACAGUGGGAUAUGAUGAGACGCUUUUAACAUUUUUAUUUGCUAUCAGGGGUCUCCUCUUGUCCCAGUUCCCCUGUCCUAGCUUUGCAUAUCACAUUGGGUAGUUUGGUUAACUUUCCAGUGGGG
Molecule: microRNA precursor, 187 nt
Filed under: Callithrix jacchus (white-tufted-ear marmoset)
Lineage: Eukaryota; Metazoa; Chordata; Mammalia; Primates; Cebidae
Description: microRNA cja-mir-9924 precursor
Source: miRBase by way of RNAcentral